CCGUUUAAAAUUCUACAGGUAUUUGUUUGAUGAUUAGCUUGAUUUCCAUCUCUACUAGAUAAUAAGCAUCAUGAAGCAAAGAAUUUAUUUGGUUUUAUUGAACAUUGCAUCUGCAAGCCCAAACUCAGCACCCCUACAAGAAAAACGUAUAACAAUAUACCCGUUGUUUAUAUUGGAUCUUCAUGGAUUUUAAAGAUGCCAAAGGCAUCCAUGAAGGCUGGAAGACCCCUUCAAGAGCACUCAAGAAAGAAAUCUCAAACAUGUACCACUCAGUCAAAACUUAAAAAACCAAGAGUAUUCAUCUGUCACCAUAUGCCGAAUAAGAAAUGGAAUCAAAGUAAAAGAAGAACUCAUAAGAAGAGACAGAAUCAAAAGAAGACCCAUGAUCAAAAGAAAAGGAAUCAAAACAAGUCAGCUGGUCCUGAGAAAAAGAGACUCGGGAAGAGCCCACCACUUCGUAUAACCCGUGCAGCCAGAACUAAAUAGCAAAGUCCAGAGACCUCAGAAAUAUCUGUUGUGUCUCCAGAUGCCUGGU
Molecule: long non-coding RNA, 535 nt
Organism: Rhinolophus ferrumequinum (greater horseshoe bat)
Lineage: Eukaryota; Metazoa; Chordata; Mammalia; Chiroptera; Rhinolophidae
Exons: 3
Source: RefSeq, a predicted model, not a curated record